CCUACGGGGGGCAGCAGUGAGGAAUAUUGGUCAAUGGCCGGAAGGCUGAACCAGCCAUGCCGCGUGAAGGUCAGUGCCCUAUGGGCGUUAAACUUCUUUUGUGCGGGAGCAAUAAUGGUCACGUGUGGCCAGACGAGAGUACCGUACGAAUAAGCAUCGGCUAACUCCGUGCCAGCAGCCGCGGUAAUACGGGGGAUGCAAGCGUUAUCCGGAUUUAUUGGGUUUAAAGGGUGCGUAGGCUGGGAGGUAAGUCAGCGGUGAAAUGCCCCCGCUCAGGGGGGUGAAGUGCCAUUGAUACUGGCGGGCGGGAGGGCGGAGGGGGGGGGAGGAAGGUGGGGGGUAGCGGUGAAGUGCGUAGAGAG
This 362-nucleotide ribosomal RNA is filed under the name uncultured bacterium. RNAcentral describes it as "partial 16S ribosomal RNA". It matches the Rfam family "Bacterial small subunit ribosomal RNA", at positions 338 to 697 of the family's 1533-position model. The record is from RNAcentral.